RNAcentral lists this long non-coding RNA (17981 nucleotides) under Homo sapiens (human). RNAcentral describes it as "HSALNT0324259". The record is from RNAcentral. Lineage: Eukaryota; Metazoa; Chordata; Mammalia; Primates; Hominidae.
UGCAGACAGAAAAGGAUCACACUCCUCUCUCAGACACAUUAUAAGAAAUUUUAUACAAGGCCUGUGCAUUUUCAAAACACAGGAUUGACCUAAUGAGCAGGAAUUUGAGACCAGCCAAAAGACAAAACAGCAAUAGACAAAUGCAUUCUCUUUUUAGUUUUCUUCAACGGAUAUAUUUCAUUUUUAAGCCUAUCUACCCCCUCCCCCGAUUUGAAGACAUCCCUCGGGCUACGUGGGGAGGAAAGCCUGUGUGACUGAUCGCUGCAGUGACUGCUCUUGGCCAUGACUGUUACUGCCAUUUUGGCCUCUCUGAAAAGUGAGGCAGCCUAAGCCUCACAGAUAUGUUUCCUGGUCACAUUUUUGUUGUCUCUACAGAAAGAGAAGCAAACGAUAUCACCAAAGUCCUAACUCUAUCCUCCCACUCUGUGAACUACAGAAAAGGAAGCAGCAGAAGAAAUAAUAGAGGGAAUAACAAAGUGACAGAAGCAUAGAGGGAAAAGCAGCAGGUGGCUUUUCAUCAAGGGGCCUUUGGGUAAGAUUUACAGGAGACAAUGUUUUCUCUGCGCCUCUGGGACUUGAAAGGUCAUGGAAAGAGGACUCACUCGCGACAGAAUUCAAACACUCGUAGUUGUGUCUCAAAGUCCUCCGCGGACAUCACCAGAAGGCAUGGUUUCAGGGGUGUUUUUCAGAAGGGCGAUGGAUUUCUUUGGAUCCACGUAGUCUCUCUUAUCUGGUUAGAGUUUCUUCUUUUUCUUUUUGUUCUUUUUUGACACAGAGUCUCACUCUGUCGCCCAGGCUGCAGGGCAGUGGCACCAUCUUGGCUCGCUGCAACCUCCGCGUCCUGGGUUCAAGCAAUUCUCCUGCCUCAGCCUCCCGAGUAGCUGGGACUAGAGGUGUGCACCACCAUGCCUGGCUAAUUUUUGUAUUUUUAGUAGAGACAGAGUUUCACCAUGUUGGCCAGGCUGGUUCUCGAACUUCUGACCUCAAGUGGUCCUCCUGCCUCGGCUUCCCAGAGUGCUGGGAUUACAGGUGUGGGCCACCGCGCCCGGCCUUAUCUGGUUAGAGUUUCUUAGGUGGGAAUGGAGUUAGCAGUCCCAGACCAGGCCAAGUUAGGACAAGCUGAGAAAUGCAUCCUGUGGUUGACACAUGGUGAGGAAUACCCAAGCAAAAUACUCUUGUGUGAGGCUUAGACUCUGUAAGAAUCUACCACUUUAUGAAGAGACUUUCUUCUCCCAUCUACCAGAUUUUCCACCAAAUUUGUUGCAGCCUUGUUAUGGGCUGAAUUGUGCCCUCUUAAAUUCAUGUAUCGAAGGACUGGCCCCCUAGGACCUCAGAAUGUGCCUGUGCCCUGUAUUUGAAGACAGGGACUUUAAAGAGGGGAAAAGUUAAACUGAAGUCAUUAGGGUGGGCCUUAAUCCAAUCUAGCUGGUGUCCUUAAGAAGAGUGCCGGGCGCAGUGGCUCACGCCUAUGAUGCCACUGCACUCCAGCCUGGGCAACAGUGUGAGACUUGUCUCGAAACAAAAAAGGAGGAAAUUUGGACACACAAAAAAGACACCAGACACCAGGGAUGCAUUCAUAGAGGAAAGGCCAUAUGAGAUCACAGCAAGAAGGUGGCCGUCGGCAAGACAAGGAGGAAGGCUUCAGAAGAAACCAGACCUGCUCUCACCUUGAUCUUGGACCUCGAGCCUGGAGAACUUUGAGAAAUAAAUUUCUGCCAUCAAAGCCACCAGUCUGUGGUACUUUGUUAUGGAAGCCCAAGCAGACUAAUACAACCUGCAGGCUUUAAACGAUGAACAAGGGAUGUGACUUUAUUGUAGGACCAGUAAUUUGAAUUUCUUGCAAACGCUUGAGUGUAAGCAUUAGUCAAUAGUCAGUGAUCUGACUGGAAAGAAGCAGAGGGCACAAGUUCAUGGCAGUGUGCUCAGGGGUACCUGGCCCCUCUGUGAAGAGCCCCAUAGAAGACAAGGCACUUGGGCCCUGUCUCAGGGGCAGCACAAGCUUCCAGGACACCACCGUCACUGGUCACUUGCUGCUCCCCACUGUGGCCCUGGACAGAUGAGUCAGGCCCAUGGUGGUCAGGGCAGUGGUUUCUCCUCGUCCUCCCCCAGCCUGCACUACUCCGUGCCUGGAGCUGUGAAAAAUUGGCCUUUGCUCGGGCGCGGUGGCUCACACCUGUAAUCCCAGCACUUUGGGAGGUCGAAGUGGGCACAUCAGGAGCUCGAGACCAGCCUGGCCAACAUGGUGAAACCCCGUCUCUACCGAAAAUACAAAAAAUUAGCCGGGCACGGUGGAGGGCGCCGGUAAUCCCAGCUACUUGGGAGGCUGAGGCAGGAGAAUCACUUGAACCCAGGAGGCGGAGGUUGCAGUGAGCUGAGACCGUAACACUGCACUCUAGCCUGGGUAACAGAGUGAGACUCAGUUUCAAAAAAAAAACAAGGUCUUUGCUGCUUCCACAGAUGCUCACAUUUCUCCCUGGCUCAUUUUAAGCUGUGCUAAAAUCUGGUAACAAAGCUUGCUUUUAUUUAAGGUACAUUUUGUAAGUUUUCGGGUGGCCCACUGUAAGGUAGAGAGCCCUGCUCUUGGUGACUUGCUUUGGAACUAGAAAAUUAGCAUCUAGCUGUACCAUAUCUGGGCACAUGACUGGGGCUUCAUCAGGUAGGGCUGGGCUUUCAUGAAGUAAGUUGCAGCUCAGGGCCUCGGCGUGCGAGGAGUGCAGUUGCUGUGUGUGACUGGCUCUGUCACCAGGAGCCCCGCGUAUUCUUCAGGGAGAAUUUUCAAUCAUGCUGGUUUUGAUUUAGGCAAUAUGGUCUUGAAAAUAUUUUCAUAGUCUAGUCUCCAUCAAUCUUAUUCUUCCACACUGACAUCUGCUUCCAGAAUUUGGAGUAAGGCGAGCUGGGAAGUAGGGCUCUGAAAUCUUGAAGGACUGCCUAAGCCCCCCCACCACACAGAAGCAAAAGCAGCCUCCACAGGAUGCCAGCUUAGCAAGGGAGGCCUCACGAGCAAUUUUAAGGACCUCAGCACUGAUGACGAGAGAUGGUGUGUUACGGAUUUUGCAUCUGCAGUUUUGCCAUUAGUGGCAUUUUAGGAAUAAAUAAGGUUGAUAUGUUAACUACCUCAAAAUAAUUUUCCCAUUCAAUUAGAUUUUGUUAGUGAACUCACUCAUCAGUUUGGAUAGUUCAAGUAGUAUACUGAAAAAUGAUAGCUAAACCUGGCUUAUGAUUAGAGCUGGUUUACAUUUUGCCUUCGGCAAGUGGAGGAUUUCCCUAGGCUGUUUCUGGAGCCUCAUUUAUUGAUGAGCUUCUGUGCCCUACUCCAAGAAGCACCUUUCCACCUGAGAAUGAGGGGCCCCAUUUACAAUAUUCUUGGAUGAGGACCUGGGGAAGAAUGCAGGAGAGCCCCAAGCUAAGAUGGUAUUCAAACUCAGAGCACGGCAGAAAGUUCCCAAAAAGAUGUUAGAAGUAUGGCUCGGCUUGCUGCUGUUUUGGCUUUUAAAAAAAGAUUAUAGCAAGAACCUUUUAGGGAACUCCACAGCCACCAGUAGGGAUCGGCAGGCACAUUGCCCCAGCUAACCACUGGAGUGGUGUUCAGGGAGGGUUUGGGAUGUGGAUGCUGCUCCAAGCCAUCUGGGAGGGAGACAGGUGCAGGGACAGUCAGCAUGAAAGCAACUGGGGACUGGGAUUGCCAUAGCUCAACAGCCUGAUGAUGGCCUGAGGUUGUUGCCAAGAGCAGCUCCUAGGAACUGCUCCUUCUCUGAGCCACCCUCUGGGAACAGCAGAGCUGUCAGAGAAGAUUUAAUUGUUUUGAUCUUCCUGCCUUCUUGAUAUCCCAUUGAGAGUCACCCUUCAGGGAGAAGGAGAUAGAGUCGUCAUUUUGUAUUAAGCAAUGACAAGAAAGAAAAAAAACUUUUAAGAUGAAAUCCUGAUGGGAUUGAAAAUCAAUUAAUCAAUCACACAGACCUCUGAUUCCUGGUCAUUCUGGCUCAGAAUUACAGACAUAAGUGUGUGACACUGUGUUACCUUAGGGUAUAUGGACUUUUAGACCAGUAGAAUUUUAUGGAGAGAAGAAACAGUAAAGAUACAUUAGUUCAAUGUAUGCAUUAGUGUUUAAGGUAAUAAUUUUGGUGCAAAAGCAGAAUGGGCCAGAUAGACUAGUUUGCCAGGAGUUUAUGGAUCUAAUGAAAUAGUUUCAGUUGCUCAUUUAGAGAAAACAAAUGCAGAAAUAGAGACCACAGCUCUUAAUGCAACCAAAGAGAGAAAAUGCAUGCUGACUAAACGUCCACCCAUUAGGCUCCUUAUUAACAGAAAUGAGAAGUUAUUCUUUGGGGACUGUUGCUCUCCUGCUGCUCUGUCAUGGGGCUAUGGCUUCAUUUUCCAUCUAUAAACACCAAACACUGGAAGGUUGGUUGCUAAGAGAACUCACUGGGGAAACAGUUAACUGUUCAAAUGUCCCCACUUACGUGGAUAUGUGCAAAUACCACCCUCUGUUCAGAUCUGCAUGUUGCAGAAAGACACUACGUGCAGUGGACUAAAGCUGGACGCCGGAGUGUCCCACAGACCCAGGUUAGCACCCCUGCCCUGCCACUCACUAGACAUGUAACUCACAGCAAGUUCUUAAGAACUCUUUCGAAACUAUUCCUCAUGGGCAAAAAGAAAAGGAUGGCAAAGCAUGAUUUUUUAAGUGUUCACUGUGUAUACCAAUUAUGAACAAAUUGUAAAAUCCUGCUUCAUUUCAUCACCAUCAAACCAUAGGCUUAAAUUUGCUCAUAAUCCCGACAACACUGUGUGUUUGGAAACAGUGGAAACAGGAAGAACUGAGAGCGGGUCUGCAUUCAGGAUCCACGUGGCUCCAAUCAUAGGUGUGAAAAGACUCACAUAUUCCGUAGCAUCAUAGGACCCAUCAGAGUAUAACAGCUAAGAUUAUUACACAUGCUGUUCCAGUGUCCCACUCACACUGCACCACAGAAAGCUCUGCAGUGGAUCAAUUGCUGCUGUGCAGUCCCCAACAUCCGAUCCUUGCUGAAGUUUAUUGAUUAAGCUGGCUAAUACACUCCUUACACAGUUAUUUGGUACCAUAUUGAAAAUACAUUAAUUCUAAAAUAACAAACAAACAAUAACUUUCAACCUCUAUUGCUAGUUUGAGAAUAAAAUGCUCCCUUUGGUGCAGUGAGUAGUGCUCAUGAGUGACAGACAAUUUGAAUAAGAAAACUGGGCUCUUGAUUUAGAUUUUUGGCUGUCAAUUACAUUUGGAAAGUUGGGGGUAAGGUACAAGCUGCUUAGGAACCCUUAUUUCUUCCCCCUGCCCUUUUGAUAUCAUUUCUCUCUCUUCUCCUUGACCUUAGGUGGGUCAAGGAGUUGGAAUUCAAAUCACAUGAGCAAAUAGCAUUCAAAUGUACAUGAUAUAUAAGGCACUUUAGCGAUCCAAAAAAAAUUUACAAUAUAGUUUCUGUCUCAAAAAGUUUAUUGCCUUGUUUGGGGAGACAAAACAUACCACACGAAAAGUUCAUGAUACAGGAUUUAAACAAGGGCUCAACAAAUCAUAGAGGAAUUGUUAUAUAACAUGGGUUCUUCCAUUAAAUGGUAAAGGAAUGCUCUUAGCUCUAAAUACUAAAAAAAAAAAAAAAAAAAGAGAAAGAGAGAGAAAUUCAGGAACUGUCCAGGUAGGAUUGAGGUAAAGGACAGGGACGAAAUGAACUUUUUGAGAAGCAUGUAGGUGGCUAAGUCAGUUUGGAUGUUAGGAACUACACUGAGAAUCAAGAGAUGAGGAAGACCAAGGGCAAACCGAAACGAGACAGGCUGAGACAAAGCGAGAUGAGACAAAGUGAGAAGAGAUGAGACAAAGCAAGAUGACAGAAGUUUGGUGAUCAUCUUGGACAUUUUGCUAAAUUAGGUGAAAAAGGAGCAAGAAACAGGUAUCCUUAGGCAAAGGCAACCUCUGACCAAGCUUGAUGAGGGCAGAUGAGGACUGAUUCUAGCAUGAGAGGGAGGUGCAGGAGAGGCAGCUGCCCAGUAGGUCCUCAGAAGAUGGUGAAGGCACCACUCCAAAGAGUGUAGAUACAUACUGACCACAACAGAGACAGAAUGUGUGUGUGUGCACACGUACACAUGAACGAAAGAGGCUAGGGCAUCAGAGGGGAGAGGAAAUACAGGGAGAAGGGAAGUCAAGGAAAGAUGCCUGACAUUCCACAGGAGAAGCUUCUGCACAGGAGCAGUGGGGAUAACAACUCCAAGAUGCACUGGAGAGGGGUUUUUGCUAGAGAGUCAGCAUCGCAAACAAGCAGAGUACCUUUGCAUUAAGGUGCGAUUUAAAAAUAUGUUAUUAUCUAGGAUAGUGGUGCUCAACCAUGGCGAUUUUGCUCCCCAGGGAACAUUUGACAACUGGGAGACAGUUUUGGUUGCCACAGCUGGCAGUGGGGAUGGGGGUGCUAACUGCCAUCGUGUGGGUAGAGGACAGAGACGCUGCUGAACACCCAGCAGCACGCAAGAAGAUCCCACAACCUGGCUCCAGAUGUCAAUGGCACCAAGGCUGAGAAACCAAAUUUAGAGGAUCCCAGGGAAAACAGAAAAGUAUCUUAAAAAUAAACAUUACCCAGUAUUGUACAGUUGACAAAUGUUAACAUUAUGCAUUUAUUAAAAACAAAUGUAAGCAACAUUUAUUACUGUAGUUAGAAUUUUAAAAUAUGUACAUAUACUGCAGCAGACUUUUAUUUAUUUAUUUAUUUACUUAUAUGAGACAGAGUCUCGCUCUGUCGCCCAGGCUGGAGUGCAGUGGCACGAUCUUGGCUCACUGCAAGCUCCGCCUCCCGGGUUCGCGCCAUUCUCCUGCCUCAGCCUCCCGAGUAGCUUGGACUACAGGCGCCCGCCACCACACCCAGCUAAUUUUUUGUAUUUUUUAGUAGAUAUGGGGUUUCACCGUGUUGGCCAGGAUGGUCUCGAUCUCCUGACCUUGUGAUCUGCCCGCCUCGGCCUCCCAAAGUGCUGGGAUUACAGGCGUGAGCCACCGUGCCCAGCCCUGCAGCAGACUUUUAAAAAGAUAUAUUCAGCUUCAUCACCCUUUUCUUAAAAAACUGAAAUUACUUCUGUCAAAAUCAUGCCGAUGGAAAGCAAUGACAUGCUAAGCACAGUCCUUUACAGAAAUAAUUCAGAUAGAAUAAGUGGAAAAUAACCUUAAAGAAGAUUGAAAGAAGCGACAACUUAAUGAAACCCAGCUACUGGUUCCAUUUUCUAUUUAUCCUUCCAAAUUGCUAAUGAAUUCUGACCCAUUUAGUCAUGCAAAAUAUAUAUCCUGAAGAAUCUGUAUCCCUUUUGAGGUACUUAAUGGAUGUUUAGCCGGCAAGGAAAUAUGGCAUGCCUAUUAUUCACAAUAGUUGAUCUUUAAAUUGACAUUAAUAUGCCACACUUAGAGUACUGGGGAAAUUCUAGCCAAAUAUACAAAGCCGCUGCUACUAAGAUGAAAGACAUUCCACAAGGAGGAAACUGAUCUCAGAACCAGUGACCACGGCCAUGAGGGCUUCGUGGCUGCUACAGCACGUUAGCCAUAAACAAUUUCCAUCUGAGGAAGUGCAUUCAGUGCAGCUGCUGAUGCAUAGUAAAUAUUUGAUCCUAAUUGGACCUAAUGAUGAAUUUCAAUUCUGUAUUCACCAUUCUUUUAUAGGACACCAACCCAUAAACACAAAAAAUAAAAAAGGUUUUGGGGAACAUUUUUCAUUUCCUUAAGUCAUUUAAUAAUGAUGAAUUGCCUGGGAGGCUCUUUGAAAAGAUAGAUGCGGCUAGAAAGUUACUGGGAGAAUUAGAAAUUGCAUAAGGAUUCAAUGCAAAAUACUUUGUAAAAAGAAAUUUUAACUUCCUUGUUUAACUUAUUUUAAUUCAUUGAGAAAUUAAAGGUAAAAUAUACUUUAUAAAAAUAUAAUCUGGCAAACUUUAAUUUGGGUACCAAUUUGGAAUUCGAUUAAACAGGUUCAAGUCUAUUUUUAUAGAUUAUAAAAAUGCUCCUUUCAGAUAAAGUAAAAAAGAUAAUUUUGUUUUGGGAGUUAAAAGAAUCAAUGUCUGUGCAUCCUUUAGUCUCAAUAGAAUAACUCUUAUUCUAUCAGUAGGCAGAAAUGUUUAAGCAGCACUGUCCAAAAGACAUACAUGUAAUUUAAAUGCUUUUAAAUGGAAUAGAAAAGUGAAAUUCUCUGGUGUUUUUUCUUGUAUUCUUUCAAAAUCAUAGCACCAAUGGAUGUGAGUUUCUAACAUUAUUCACCUAUCUUUUUAAAAAUUUACCCCUGAAUGCUUAUACACUGCUGGUGGAGAUGUAAAUUAGGUCAACCAUUGUGGAAAGCAUUUGGUGAUUUCUGAUAGAACUUAAAACAGAACUAUCAUUGACCCAGUAAUCCCAUUAUUGGGUCUAUACCUAAAGGAAUAUAAAUCAUUUUAUCAUAAAGACACAUGCACGCAUAUAUUCAUUGCAGCAUCAUUCACAAUAGCAAAGACAUGGAAUCAACAUAAAUGCUCAUCAAUGGUAGACUUGAUAAAGAAGAUAUGGUAUAUACACACCAUGGAAUACCAUGCAGCCAUAAAAAAGGACAAGAUGAUGUCCUUUGCAGCAACAUGGAUGGAGCUAGAGGUCAUUUUCUAAGCAAACUAACACAGGAGAAGAAAACCAAAUUCUACAUGUUCUCAAGUAUAAGUGGGAGCUAAACAUUGAGUACAUAUGGACACAAAGAAGGGAAUAACAAACACCACAGCCUACUUGAGGGUGGAAGGUGGGAGGAGGUGAGGGUUGAAAAACUACCUAUCAAGUACUAUGCUUAUUACCUGGGUCAUGAAAUAAUCUGCACACAAACCCCCCAUAACACACAGUAACCCCCGUAACAUGCUAUCAAUCUAUCUAUAUAACAAACCUGCACAUGUACCCCUGAACUUAAAAUAAAAGUUAAAAGAAUAAUAAAAACAGAAAGUUUACCCUUGAUAACACGUUUUAUGUAUAAUCACUAAAUCUACUAAGGCACAUUUGCAUAUUAUAUUAUAGAGUCUGCUAGCUCUACAGUUUUUCCAACUGUGUACAGUCGGCCAACUACCAUAACCCACAUCUUCCAAAUCCUAGUGGCUUAACAAUGGAAAAUGGAAUAUCCAGUGCAGCUCAGUGGAGUGUGGGGUGGGGGGCUGUGUUCCAAACAGCCAUUUAGAAAUGAUGCUCCUUGCAGCUAUUACUCCACCAUACCAUGGGGUCUCACAGUCCUUCACAUCCCCUGAGUCCAGCUGUUAGCUGAGAGGAGCGAGAAUGUACAGGAUCAGGUAUGGGUUUCAUGAGGCAGACCUGGAAGGGCAAUACAUCACUUCUACGAGCCAGAAAUUGUCACACGAUUCCUUCCAACUGCAGAGGAGGCUGGGGAAUGUAAUCUACCUGUGUGCCCAGGAGGAAGGGAAAUGGGCUUUGUGAAAAUGUGCAGCAUUAUCUCUGACAAACUGGCAGGAAAAAACCCACUAAUGUCAUAUCUUUAUAUACCUGAGAGAUGUAUCAUCAAUGACCAAUUCUCUGCCCUUGGCAGAAUGCCGAUUGGAAAUAUAGCUUUGGACAGGGCCAAUAUUAGGCUACGUCAAGAUGACCAGCAUGUGUCCUGGCAAGCUGACAACAGACUCUGUCAAACAGUCAGCAUGGCCAGAUUACCCUCCUGGUCUUCCAGGCAAUCAUGCUCCUCUUCCCACUUUGGGACUGACACCUUUGCUUCCCAUCGCAAGCACAGCCAAUUCACUGAAAAGAGUUGACUAGUGUCACUUGCAUUUUCAUCUGAAUAAGGGAAGAGUCACUGUCACUUGGAAUGUGACCAUAGACUCCACUAUCCUUAGACUACAUCAAAAUUAUGCUCCUUUAAACUAUUUGGAGGUAAAAGACACAAGAAAAUAAUAGGCACCAGAAGCAUACACAAAUGUGAGAUGUUUGGCAUGGAAGACAGUUUUCUACUCAUAAAAUACACAACUUGAAAGUUGGUAUAAAUAUCAGAUCCUGAAUCCUGCCAGCCACAUUUUUACUGGCAGGCAUAGCAGGAGACAGCACAAUGAAAAUUCUCAUAGAGGUUGGAAGUAGCAACAAGUCUUGAAAACUCAUUUGACUAUCAAGGAGGGCUAGACCACACAUUAACUCAGACCACAAAGGCUAAAGGUCUCACUUAGACUCUCUUAUCACUCAGCAUUUAGAACCAGAAGAAUAAUCACAUUCAUUCUUUCAAGACUUUCCCUUUAACUAUACAUAAGAAAGGAAAUGUCUUUACAUUCCUCAUAUCUCACUUGGCAUAAAAUCUAAUGUUUGUUCAUCUCACUUAUCUUAAUCCCAUACCUCCUCAUGUUUAUUAGAAGAAAAAAAUGUAACUCUGCAUGUCAGAAAACAGAUCUGAAGUAAAUAUCAGUUAAAAUGCAAAACAAAAAGCAAAAGAGGUCUCAGAUUUUUACAAAUGUUGUUUUAUAGAAACCAUAAAAUUGAGGUAACUUGAUUUAAAACAAGUGAAGACAUCCAAGAAUUUUCAUAGUAUGCAAGUGAUCUGGACUGGUGGUUGGCAGCAUUGACAUUAAAUCAGCUGAAUUUUCAUUGACAGCUCAUUAGAAAGAUGUUCCAAGAAAAUCGAAUACAAGAUGCUCAACAGAAGCUCUUCUCUAUGCAGUUCAUAACUGUUAUUUUAUGUCCUUACAAGUCAUGACUCAUAUUAGAACACGUAACUCUGUAAAAUUUAAAGAUUUUUAUAAAUCGCAUGAAAAAUUUCCCCUUAGUAUAGCUAUAAUUUUGCUGUUUAUGUCACAUGGAUUUUUAAUUACAUUUUCCAAACACGAAGGCAGUCAAUUUGAUAAGGAGAAUAUUUCACAAAAUUCACUCUUCUGUUCUAGGAUCUUGGUUCUAGGUAACUCAUUCUCCAGAAAGAAAUCAUAUCAGUCAGUUCACAAAAGAAAAAAAUAUUUAAGCCACCUAAAAACUCAAGUACUAUUCAUUGUUAAUUUUGUCUGGAUCUUUACAUUACCUUAACUAUAUGGUCAGUCUAUAAAAAUGUAUCUGUACAUAUGCUUACAGGUAAUAUGUAAUAUAAGUAACAUCCAGGGAUGGAUCCUGAAGCGGGCUUCCAUUUUUUUUUGGCAUUUGUAUUUUAAUGAAGGUUAAUAAAAGCCAAAUUACAGCCAACUGUUAAAGCUUUUUUUUUUUUUUUUUUUAAUUCUAUGGUAUAACAAAAUCAGUUCCAGGUUUUUUUCUGAACAAAUGAUCCUUUGGUCUUUCCCGUGGCAUGCUCCUAAAACAACUAAAACAACCCUCUACGUCUAAUCAGUCACCUAAGAUAUCGAGUGGCAAGUCUUUCACAUUUGCUGCUUAUAAUUCCUGAAUGGUCCAUAUUGAGUAUUUUCAUUUCUGGGUAAGGGAAAAAGCAUUUUGGUCCAUUAAUUCACCCGCUCGCUCCUGGAGGACGUUAACCAAUUCUGCUAUCACAAAGACGUGAGUGGCAUCAAUGUCUUGCAUGAUGAACUUCGCAGGCUUCCAUUUUUGUUCACUUUGGGAUGGUUUUCCUGUCGAACUGCGUGGAAAAGCAGGAAGCACACUGUCCACUGUAGGGGUUCCUGGUCCAGCAGAAGACUUUCAGAUAUUGUCAAGUUUAGUCCACUUCUUUGGAUCUCAGUGGCUUUUAUUCUGACAUAAGAUAUUUAGAUGUUGCAAGCCCCUCCAAGGAACACUAUUUUAUAAACAGAAACAUCCAGUUGUGUGGCCAUUUCAUAAUUAGCUUCUGAAAUGGACAGGAAAUGCACCUAUGUGAAGGAGGCAGAGCAGGGCAAAUGCCUUUACUGCUUUUCAAAUUUUGAUUUCCGGGUAGGAAACACAACUAAACCUCCUAUCAAUUUUUAGUCUUUACCUGUACAUUUCUAACUUUUAGAGAUUUCUGUUAAUGUUCCUUUUUCUUGUUAACUUUGUAUUUGAUAUUCAAGAAACGUUAGAAAUGAAUGCCUGUAUAACAUAAUUUCAAGAUAUUAAAAUAGCAUUUAUCAUUAAGGCCACUUGCUUUAUACCAACAUCACAAUUCCAUUUUAAGAGUUAUUCCAUGUCCUGGGAAAUUAAAUCACUGUCUCAACUCCUUCCAGGUGACAUAAGAAGACAUGGAGGCAUGAUGGUCUAGCAGAGAGAAGCCUAGGUGGUAUGGAUUGUUCCAUGUUGUGGAACAUAUUACAGAGACAAGGGUAUACAUUAGUUCAGCAAUUUCGAGUUCUUAAAACAUCUGCUUUCUCUCCAGCUAGAUCUAUACAACUGGAUGGAGAAGAUCAGGCUUAGGUGUUCUGUAAAAUUUAAAAAUGAGACCCCUAAUGGCAGCUUUCCUAUUUUACUCAUAUUUUUGGAAUAUUUUCAAGCAAUUGCUGAUACAAUCUGGUGAGCCACUGAUGGAAUUGAGUGUAAGAAAUGGAAACUGCUAUGGAUUGUUAACAUAGAGACUGAUGACCAGAUUACAGGUGCAUAUAUUUUGUUUAUCUAGAGUUGUGUGGAGGCUGCUGUUCAGAGCAUUGCUGACACCAGGGCAUGAAACUAGUGACACAGUUAAUGAGGCUGGUGAUGAAGAAACUCUCGGGUCCUAACCGAUAAUUUCACAUACCUAGUAAAUCAGCAUUAUUUCAUUUGAGUUACACUUGACUUUUUAAAAUUAAAUAUCAUGCGAAAGACUUUCCAGAAUUACAGCAUUCCACCAAAUUGCUCUAGCCAGGACCCCAUUGAGGUCCAUAUUGUAAAAUUAUCAGGUUAUAUCUAAGCCAUCAUCUUUCUUGAUUGCACCUCCCCCUCUGACAUAGUUUCUUCUCUUGGCUGUCAGCACACUGUGCCCGCUUGCCUUCCUCCUAUCUCCCUGGGCAUGCCUUCUCAGUUUCAUUGAUAGGGUUCUCCUCCUCCUCCUGGCCUCUCAAUCUUGGAGGUUUUUAGCCUUGAAGUUUCUUAGCCUUUUUGUCCUCUUUCUGCACUCACUGCCUCAUUCAGUCUCAAGGCUUUAAACACCAUGGAGACCCAGCCAUCUCUUGCCGUCUCCUCCAUUUCCACCCAUUCCAGGCACCUUCCUUCCUCACCUGGCCGUUGCAAUAGCUUCCUAAUUAGUCUCCAGCUUCCACCUUCCCCUUCUUACCACCUACUCCCUUCAGUGCAAAAGCCUCAACCUCUGGCACUCACCCUUUCUUUCUCUUGGUUGCAGCUAUCCUGGCCUCCUUGCUGUGCCUCAUACUGGAAGGCCACUCACACUUUAGGGCAUUUGCAGAGGCAGUGCCUUCUGCCCCCAGAUGGGUAACCCUAUGGGCAACCCCCUUCAACUUCCUUGCUCAACAUUUGAAACUCCAAGCUGCACUGUCCUCAACACAUUCUCCAGAUCCUCUUUACCCUGCUAUGUUUUGAGCCCCUUUUACUCUCUUACCUACUGUAUAAUCUCCUAACAUGUUUACCUUUUACUGUGUGUUCUGCCCAUGGGAAUUUAAGCUCUGUGGGGGCAGGGAUUUUUACCAAGGUUGUUCACUGAUGUGUCUCAAGCGCUCAGAACAGUCCUUUGCCUUUGGACAGUGCUCGGAUUUGCAUGAGUGAAUGACUGUGCUCUCUCCAGAGUGAUGAGGAUGUCAGGAUUGCUAGGUUUAGAAAUGAAGCACAUCCUAUAGUAUGACAGAGCCUGCAGAGGAGAUAACAGCUUCUCGCUUAAAGAUAUGGAGUAGGCGUUAAAAAUGAUUUCUGCCCAAUGUAAGAGGAGGAUUUUCCAAUUACCAACCAGAAGGAGUUGCUUGCUCUUGCCUCAGUGAUUCUCACAAUACCAUAUGCUAUCAAGUUCCAUUGCCCUCUUUGUACAUGUGAGGGUAAGGUGCUCCAUUGGAUGUAUCUUGAAACAGAACAGAGUUUGUGUAUGUGAGGGGGGUGUGUACCUUUUUCUAAGGAUUGAGCUGGAUGACAAAGGAUAUUGCAUAUUUAACGGGUAGGGAGAACGCAGGUGCAACAAUUCACAAAAAUCUCAUAAUAGUGAAUGAUGGUGAAUGAAUAGAGAAGACCUAAGAAAUCUCUCAAACGGGUGAGUUCUCUAGGAAUUGAAAGGGUUUUUUUUUUUUCUGUUACAGUUUUAAAAGAAUGUGGAAAUGGAAUAAUUUGAUGAUAUUAAGCUGUGGUUUUGAUGAAUGCUCUAAGAAUCAUCCCCAGUGAUAAAUAUUCAAAGAUAAAUGGUGAUGUUUUAGAUAGAAGUCAAUCGUUAUUCUAUUGCCUGUAACAGGGUUCCUUAGUUAUAAUUCUGUUAGUUGCUCUCAUGGUCUUAUGUUACUAAUAUAGUCAUUAUUUCAAAGCUUAUCACAUUCUGUAAAAUCCUGUAGUCAUUAGCAAUAAUCUAAGCCAACGUUAGCAAUCCAUUAAGGUUAGACAUUUAACUUCUAUAAAAUACUCUAUGCCACAGCACUUUCAUAUUCCUAUGGGGCAAAUUUCCAUCGUAGACUCCACGUUGGCUCCUUGAAAUGGUGUGUACUCAAGGAUAGCCCAGCUUAGGGGACUCCAAAUGCCAUUUCAAUUUUAACUUUAUACAACAGAUUCUCGUUCUCCAUCCAUGCUUAGACUUCCCAGCUCUCAGGUUCAACUCUCAGAUCAGGAACAACCAUAUGUACUAUGUUUUGUUUCCAUCGAAUUGGCAGUGACUCAUUAUUUAAUUACUCUCCAUGUGUUGGCCAAAUAUGAGGAAAGAAUACUCUGAAAAAUUAACAAAAUGUGGCUGGCAUUACAGCCAUGCAGUGCCUCAUGCCUGUAAUCCCUGCACUUUGGGAGGCUGAGGCAGGUGGAUCACCUGAGGUCAGAAGUUCAAGACCAGCCUGGUCAACAUGGUGAAACCCCAUCUCUACUAAAUAUACAAAAAAUUAGCUGAGUGUGGUGGUGGGCACCUGUAAUACCAGCUUCUCAGGAGACUGAGGCAGGAGAACCACUUGAACCUGGGAGGCGGAGAUUGCAGUGAGCUGAGAUCGCGCCAUUGCGCUCCAGCCUGGGCAACAAGAGUGAAACUUUGUCUCAAAAAAAAAAAUUAACAAAAUGCAUCUGUAUAGGCAUCCUAUGUCUGCAUAAUGCGUCUACACAGGCUUUGGGAUGCAGCAGCAUUGGAUAGAACAAUACUGAUCCCUGGCAAAGAUACACCACAAAAAAGCUCGGCUGCCUUUCACAAAUACGAGUUCAUGAACACGUCCAGGAAGAUAAAAGUGUGCAGUGCAUUAAAAACACAUUUCCUUCUCAUUAGUUGCAUGAGGAUAUAAAAAUUAAAUCAAAUCUGCUUUGUUGCCAAUUUCAAGAAUGUGACUGAGGACAAGGAGCAGAAGAAAGCAGUGUCACCAAUCCUACUCGGAAUAAUCUGUCACCAUGUUAGCAGAGCAGAAAACAUUUCAUUUUAAAUGAUUGCUAUUUCAGUUACAUAAUAAAAGUUAAUAGAUACAACCCCAAACAUAAGAUUUAAUUCAUUCAGACACACAUAUACUUGUGUUAGUCUAUGAAGGAAAUAUAUCUUUUAUGUCAAAAUUAUGUACUUCUUUGAAAUGUAGUUCAAAGUGAAGAAGAAAACUUUAAACAUUUUCCUUCACUUUUAACUCCUUCCAUGCCCCAAAGCAAACACCUGAACAUAUGUUAAAAUACUUGAAUUCAUAGCUGCCAUCAGUAAUGUCUUUAUUCAUUCAGAGAUUUUACUUCAAUAUCCCUCUGUUAGACUUUUUCCUGAAUGUUGAUCUUGAAAAUCUGUACCGAAAGCUUAAGUUUUUCUCCAAAGUCACAUUCAACUUCCAUAGAUCAUAUCAGAAUAAUACUCCUUUGAUAUUUACAUAGAAGCAAAUACAACAAUAUCUCUAUAAUCCAUGGAUAAUGUAUAUAUGCUACUAUAGAUAGCUCUCAUUCUGAAGAUAUUUUUCCCAAGGCACAAAGGCCAUCACAUAAAUUCACCUGCAUUUUUAGAGUGGAUGUUCAGGGCGAUGUCAUUGGAGAAAGGCUAUGCUCCCAGUGACUGUCACGGACAAGUACAGAGUCUUGAGUAGGCUCUCAACAAAUGAUUGUUGUGCUUAUUAAUUGAAGAAGAAUGAUCUUAUAUGUGAAUCAGAAAGGAAGGAAAUUAGGAGUAAGUGACAACGAAGCAAGUGAUUUGUGAACAUUGUGUCCGAAAGAGAAUCUGAGGAAAAGGGUGUUUUGAGGUUAGUAGCAGGGCUGACAUUGAAUCUGAGUUCCAUGCCCAGCAGUGAGCCACACCCUUUCCUUACUAAGGAAUCUGGAAAUGUUGCCAGCCCUGCCUUUUAUCUUUGAAAACACAGGGCUAUUUAUGUCUAAACACAAUGCACUGAAUUUACCUUCAUUGGUUGACACAGUUAUCUUUCCUGAUCCUCAAAACCUCAACAGACAGCAAAGUGCACAACUUGCUAUGUAAUAGAAGUUUGGUAGAUGGGAAGUCUACAUGCAAAGCUGAUUUAUUUUGGCAAGAUAACUCAGCCGCAAGGGGUUACACGGAAGGCAGAGAGAAUGGAUGUAAAGUGUAGUCAGGAUACUACUGAGAAAUCCUAGUCAAGGAUGUUGCAAUAGCCUGUGAACUAGGAAAGGAGUGAUAUUGAAGACGUGUAUGUAAGUAGAAUCAAUGAGUAGGGACUAAGUUGGUAUGAAGAAAAAUUCGAAUGCUUGUCUAAGAUUCUAAUUCUCAGUAACUGGGUGGCACCAUCGUCAAGAUCCAGCCCUGGGAAGGAAGAGCAGGGUGGGAGUUGGAAAGUGAGUUUUAGACGCAUUGAAUUUGAGGUACUCAGAAGACAUUCAAAGGGAAUGUUCACCAGCUUCUUGGAAAUGUGAGUCUGGAACUUUCACAAGAGAUCAGGGAUAGAGAUUAGGGAUUAUCGUGAAGGAAGAAACAGGUGAACUCAGGGAAGAUUACAGAGAUUUAGACGAGAGGGACAGAACCCAAGGGAGUAACUUUAAGGUUGGGCAAAAAAAAAAAAGGGCACCUGUAAGUGGAAUUCAGAAGAUGUAAUCAGAGAGACUGAAGGUAAAUCAGAAGCUUCCAGUGUCACAGAAGGCAAAGGGGAACAGAUUUCAUGAAGAUGCGAGAGUCAGCAGCAUGUAAUGCCAGUAAUCUAAAAGACUUGUCUCCACAUUUGUUUCCAAUACCGCUUUAUGUUAAUUAUGUAAUAUCUGGUUUCUCAGCUUUAGUAACAAUGACAUGAGAAAAUUCAAAAUUAUUUUUUGUGUCAUUUCUCUCAGUGUGUUUAUUAUUAUUUAAAUAUAUUUAUAUGCUUUCAUGAACUUUACUUAUGAACGAGUUAAGAACAUGGCAUCCCAAAAUACACCACUCUGGCAUAUUCAGUAUUUUUAGUUAAAGGCACUUAAGAAAAACCAGGUGAGGUCGGGCGUGGUGGCUUAUGCCUGUAAUCCCAGCACUUUGGGAGGCUGAAGCGGGUGGAUCACCUGAGGUCAGGAGUUCGAGACCAGCCUGGCCAACAUGGUGAAAUCCCAUCUCUACUAAAAAUACAAAAAUUAGCUGGGUGUGGUGGCAGGUGCCUGUAAUCCCAGCUAUUCAGGAGGCUGAGGCAGGAGAAUCACUUGAACCCGGGAGGCGGAGGUUGCAGUGAGCCGAGAUUGCGCCACUGCACUCCAGCCUGGGUGACAGAGAGAGACUCUCUCAAAAACAAAAACAAAAACAAAAACAAAAAGCAGGUACAAGAAGAUCACUCUGACCUUCCUUCUGUUUCUGAAAAGCAGGAGAUGACAUUCCCAUGUGAAAGGUGUCCUCCCUUGGCCAGGUGGGAGGCAUGAUUCCUAUGGGCAAGGACCAGAAGCUGAGGCUGAGGGAAACCUGUACCACCUGCUAUACUGGCCCUUCCUUCCCAGCCAUUCUCCUCCAAUCACCUGCCCUGGCCCAAGCCCCCGACCCCCCACCUCAUCACAUUUCUGCAAUUUACUGCUCUUUGUCUAAUUCCUUAUAUAAGUGGUCAAUACAAACUGCAUCUUUGGGUCUUCACAAAUUCUGAAGGUUUUCAUGCCA